AAGUGAGAAGCAAACAAUUGCAAUCAGUUUCGACCUGGUCCUGGAUAAAAUUUUAUCCUCACUUU
This 65-nucleotide transfer RNA is filed under the name Apicotermitinae sp. RNAcentral's name for it is "tRNA-Arg". The record is from RNAcentral. Lineage: Eukaryota; Metazoa; Arthropoda; Insecta; Blattodea; Termitidae.